RNAcentral lists this long non-coding RNA (310 nucleotides) under Brassica napus (rape). RNAcentral's name for it is "long non-coding RNA (BNAP_LNC005599)". The record is from RNAcentral. Lineage: Eukaryota; Viridiplantae; Streptophyta; Magnoliopsida; Brassicales; Brassicaceae.
UUCAAAAAAAAAAAAAAGUUGCAUGAGUUUGAGUUCGAAUAGUUGUUUAUAUUUUCAAAACUUUGGCUGUGCAACGUGGUGGAAACCCAAGUAGGAAUACAGUAGAACACAACGACAAGUGGUUGAAAUUGAUUGGAGCAGAGGCCGCUCUACUUGGCAUGAUGAGAUCAUGUAAAGAAGGUGAAAGCAAGAAAAGAUGCACAUAUCACGUUCUGUUAAUAUAACAAAAUUAAUAAACUACUAUAAAUCACUAUGGGAAAUUGGGUCAUUCCUCCAACAAGGCAACAACAAAACCCCAUCAAUUCCCACU